ACUUCUCUCUUCUGCCUCCUAGUGAAAAAGGUGCCUGCUUCUUCUUCUGCCAUAAGUUUCCUGAGGCUUCCCCAGCCGUGCGUAACUGAGUGAGGACCUAGAAUUUUAAUGUCUAAUAUGCGGUGUGAAUUAAAGAAGUGGCCUUGCUAUGCUGACCUUUUCAAUAUUCUAAUCUUUGCUUUGCUGACCUCUCAGGCCUCUUCCUGGCAACAGUUAGGCUUUUGAGAGGAGGGAGAGCUGAGACUGUUGGCUCCUUCCCAUUUAUGAGAGAGCCACAUGACAUCAGCCCAUAGACUGUGGAGAGUAUUCCAGAUCUAUCACAUUCUGCGAUUCUGCGAUUCCCAGAAGGCUGGUCAUGAAAAAAUUCCCUCUUCAGUUUACAUAUAUGGCAGUGAUGCACAACAUUGUUCUUUUGGUUGUGAAUACUUCGAAGAAGUAGAUGUGGUCCUGGUUGAUGGAUGAACAUUGAGGCCCUCAAGUGCAUAAAGGCACUUCUAGAUAUCUGUUGAGGCCUGGAAGGGGCAAAACAAUUCAGGAAGCAGUUGAAGAUAAAGGGGUUUACCAUGGAAGAGAAGAUCCAGGUGCCUUCAUGGAAAUGCUUGUGGUUGAAAAGAGAUGAAGAUGAGGGUCCCUGGAAAGAGGAAGAACCAGCCAGGAAAAUUAUACCAUUAGCAAGACUGGCAUCAGCAAGUAGUUCGCAGUGUUGGUUGUUCUUGGUUUCGCAGGAUUUUAUAGGAGAGUUUCUGUCAGGCCUUUGAGCCCAAGCUAAGCCAUCAUAUCCCCUGUGACCUACACGUUAUACAUCCAGAUGGCCUGAAGCAAUUGAAGAUCCACAAAAUAAGUGAAAAUAGCCUUAACUGAUGACAUUCCACCAUUGUGAUUUGUUUCCACCCCACCCUAACUGAUACAUAUAUUCUCCCCCACCCUUAAGAAAGUACUUCAGAAUAUUCUCUCCCGCUCUUAAGAAUGUGCUUUGUAUGCCUAUCCCAAACCUGUAAGAACUAAUGAUAAUCCCACCACCCUUUGCUGACUCUUUUUUUGGACUCAGCCCAUCUGCACUCAGGUGAAAUAAACAGCCUUGUUGCUCAC
This 1089-nucleotide long non-coding RNA is filed under the name Pan troglodytes (chimpanzee). RNAcentral's name for it is "lincRNA". Lineage: Eukaryota; Metazoa; Chordata; Mammalia; Primates; Hominidae. The record is from RNAcentral.